RNAcentral lists this ribosomal RNA (733 nucleotides) under uncultured Bacteroidales bacterium. RNAcentral's name for it is "bacterial SSU rRNA". It matches the Rfam family "Bacterial small subunit ribosomal RNA", at positions 28 to 750 of the family's 1533-position model. Lineage: Bacteria; Pseudomonadati; Bacteroidota; Bacteroidia; Bacteroidales. The record is from RNAcentral.
GAUGAACGCUAGCUACAGGCUUAACACAUGCAAGUCGAGGGGCAGCAUGGUCUUAGCUUGCUAAGGCCGAUGGCGACCGGCGCACGGGUGAGUAACACGUAUCCAACCUGCCGUCUACUCUUGGACAGCCUUCUGAAAGGAAGAUUAAUACAAGAUGGCAUCAUGAGUCCGCAUGUUCACAUGAUUAAAGGUAUUCCGGUAGACGAUGGGGAUGCGUUCCAUUAGAUAGUAGGCGGGGUAACGGCCCACCUAGUCUUCGAUGGAUAGGGGUUCUGAGAGGAAGGUCCCCCACAUUGGAACUGAGACACGGUCCAAACUCCUACGGGAGGCAGCAGUGAGGAAUAUUGGUCAAUGGGCGAGAGCCUGAACCAGCCAAGUAGCGUGAAGGAUGACUGCCCUAUGGGUUGUAAACUUCUUUUAUAAAGGAAUAAAGUCGGGUAUGGAUACCCGUUUGCAUGUACUUUAUGAAUAAGGAUCGGCUAACUCCGUGCCAGCAGCCGCGGUAAUACGGAGGAUCCGAGCGUUAUCCGGAUUUAUUGGGUUUAAAGGGAGCGUAGAUGGAUGUUUAAGUCAGUUGUGAAAGUUUGCGGCUCAACCGUAAAAUUGCAGUUGAUACUGGAUAUCUUGAGUGCAGUUGAGGCAGGCGGAAUUCGUGGUGUAGCGGUGAAAUGCUUAGAUAUCACGAAGAACUCCGAUUGCGAAGGCAGCCUGCUAAGCUGCAACUGACAUUGAG